CUCCCUCCUAACCUUCCCCAAAGUCCAUAGUAUCAUUCUAUGCCUUUGAAUCCUCCUAGCUUAGCUCCUACUUAUGAAUGAGAAUAUACAAUAUUUGGCUUUCCAUUCCUGAGUUACUUCACUUAGAAUAAUAGUCUCUAA
Sapajus apella (tufted capuchin) is the source of this 141-nucleotide long non-coding RNA. RefSeq lists it as uncharacterized. The record is from RefSeq and is a predicted model, not a curated record. NCBI's taxonomy places the organism in Eukaryota, Metazoa, Chordata, Mammalia, Primates, Cebidae. The transcript is spliced from 3 exons.